CAACUAACAAUAUCAAUCAUGUUAGAAACAUAAUAGAUGGAGAUAAUUGCUUAACCGAUACAGAAGACGUAUUUGAGAAAAAACUUUUUGUUUGUGAUGUGUGCGCAAAUAAUAAUACAUAUGAAAACACUCAUUGUAUUUUAUGUCCUAGAAGAGGUGGUGCAUUAAAAAUGGUAUAUAUAAACAAUUUAACAAAAACAGAUAAAAAUAGAAAUAAAAAAAGUAAUAAUAAUGUUAAUUAUUAUAUGAAACCUAACGUGAAUUGUGUAUUUGUUCAUAUGCAAUGCGCAUUAUGUGCACCUCAUAUAAGUAUCGAAGAAAUAGAAGAAGAUUAUUAUUACAUUUAUAAUUAUGAUAACACAUAUGUAAGUGAUUCUGAUGAUGAUAGUACUACCAACAAUAUUACUAGAUACAGUAAGCGUGCUAAUAAAAACAAAGAUGGAUACAAAUCCGACACAGAACUACAAACAUUGAAUAAAGAAUACAAAAAUGAUUACAAACAAAAAUUGCUUAACAUGUGUUUUCAUAAAGAGUUACUAUAUUAUAAUAAUGGUACAGAUACCGACAGGAUAGAUUUAAUAGAUAGUAGUACUAUUACUACUACUGUUAACAGUACGAAUAGGCAGUUACUAGCAUUAGAAAAUUAUACUAAUGUACAAAAUGGCGAUAAAUAUAACACUUACAUUAACAACAAUAAUAAUAAUAAAAAGGAUAUGACAAUUCUGAGAGAUAAAAAUAAUAAAUAUAACAAAAAUAACCGAUCAUCUCGUUUUAAUUAUAAAACAGAACAGGCAAAUAUGGAAGAUAGUGUGCUUUUACCUAUUCAUGAUAAUUCAACUGUAUGUGCUUCAAAUUUUAAUGAAACUGAACAGGGGGUUCAACUAGAUGAUACUUUAACAAAGGGAAGAGUUAUCACAAAUACAUCUAUCACUAACCAAAAUGCAACUACUUCAAAUCCGACUGGUACAAACUCAGAUGUAAAAACUAAUAUGAUUGUUGGACUUGAGAACAACAGUAAUAAUUCUAUUGAUAGUAGUAAUAUAGACAAUAGUACAAGUUAUAAGUCACGCCAAAAUAUGCAUUACAGUAUUCGAAAUAAUAAACGUUAUAACAGUUACAGUAACAUUAAUUAUGAUUUGGAUGAAAGUAAAAACAAAACAAAAAGUAAUAGUAUAUCAUCUUCACUAUCUGCACAUCACCAAUCGACUGAAAGUAUUAAUAUAUAUGCAAAAAAAUAUUCCAAACCUAGAAAAUGCUUUUCUAUAUAUGGUAGUAACAGGGUUAAUAUGAGGACAAACAAAUAUAACAACCAGUAUAACAAUCAGUAUGAUAACAAGUAUGAUAACAUCAAGGAGGACGUCAAAAAAAAUAGUACAAUAAUAAUAACACCAUCAGAAGAACCAGUAGAUAAAACAGUAACGGAAACAACCACAACAGAAGUAACGACAGGUACUCAUUAUACAACAAGAACAGGCUACGACAACACUAACUCUAUGACAAGUGUUGUAAAAGAUACAAGUAAAACAAGUCAAACUAAAGGAGGAAGUUAUGUCUAUACGAGUGGUAUGAGUACGCGUGGAAUAACUAAAAAGAAUAGUGUACAAAUAGAAAUACCCGAAGUUAAAGCAACAAGUAGGAAUAGUAGUAGUGGUAGUAGUAACGGUAUUAAUAAUACUAUUAUUAACAAUCCUAAUAAUGUUAUUAAUAAUACUACAAGUCAUAAUAAAAAAAAUUCUAACAUAAGUUUGUACAACUUAACUAGAGCUAGCCAAAGAGCCAACAUGAACAAUAGGACUAACAGUAUCAACAGGGUUAGCACUAACAAUAGGACUAACAACAAUAACAGAAAUAACAACAACAGCAACAUUUACGGUAACAACAUUAACGGUAACAACAUUAACGGUAACAACAUUAACGAUAACAACAUUAACGACAACGUUAAUGGUAAAAAUAAA
Molecule: long non-coding RNA, 1955 nt
Organism: Piliocolobus tephrosceles (Ugandan red Colobus)
Lineage: Eukaryota; Metazoa; Chordata; Mammalia; Primates; Cercopithecidae
Source: Ensembl